This 1184-nucleotide long non-coding RNA is filed under the name Aotus nancymaae (Ma's night monkey). RNAcentral's name for it is "lncRNA (ENSANAG00000039387.1)". Lineage: Eukaryota; Metazoa; Chordata; Mammalia; Primates; Aotidae. The record is from RNAcentral.
UCUGCUCUAGCUGGAGAAGAGUCCUGCAGGGAUCCUGGCUGGGGAAGGUGCAGGGGGCCUGGGAGACCGCCUCUCCCAGGCAGUGACACCCUCACCCUUCAGUCUUCCCCACCCACCCUCCCCUGCAGAGGGUGGCAGCCCCAGGCUCUUUGCAUAAUCCUGUGGCUUCGCUGUCUUCACCCAGCACCAGCGGACAGGGAAGGGCAGAGAAGGCCGCCAUGGCGACACUCCUCUCCCAUCUGCAGCAGCGCCCUCCCCUCUUGCGCCAGGCCAUCAAGAUAAGGCGUCGCAGAGUCAAAGAUCUGCAGGAUCCUCUGCCCCAAACGGCCCCGGAGGUAGGAGUGACCUCACCGGCGAGAGAGCCAGCCUGGGGGAGCACUGCGGUCUCGGUGUGGGUGCCCUGCUGUCUGGCCCCACCUCUGAAAGGCUGAGACUGAGGACCAGGGACCCUCCCUGCCUGCCCCUCCCUGGGCAGAGCCUCGUGGGCCACAGAGCAGGGGCUGCCAGGUGUCCUCUGGGCCACUGUGGAGAGGCCCUGCGGUCUGAGCCUCUCUGAACCCCUCCUCUGGUGGGCCUGACUCCCCAUCCCCUGCUCCUCCAGCUCCAGAGGCACCAACUCUGUUAGGUGGGGGCAUCCCGGGUAUGGGGUGAGCUGUUCAGGGAGCAGCAGACCCCGAGGCCGGGGCGGCACCCCCCUCACCUCCGCUGCUGAGCCUCACUUCCGCAGCUGGGUGAGGAGCAGCCGCCACCGAUAAAAGCUGUUUCCUCUGGGGAAGGGAGGGAGGUAGGGUGUGGGUGUGGAGGCCUCGCGCUACUGGGCGCCCAUGGACCUCAGCCACAGCAGGCCAGGGGACGGACCCCCAGGAAGCCUGCUGGGGGAACAGGUGCGGGCGUCGGUGGGGCUGGAGGCCAGGGUGCUGGGGCCCCAUGCCCUUGGCCUGGUUCAGGCCUCGGAGGAGCCUUUCCUGCCCAACCUGAGGCUGCUCUGGGCCUCCCCGGACACUGUGCAUUUCCACCUUGCUCUGUAGAUCCAGCCUCCGUCCCACCACUUCUCCCCGGAGCAGGUGACCCUGUGUGUCUCAGCGGGCCCUGCUCUAUGAGGAAGCGCUCUACACGGUCCUGCACCGCCUGGGUCAGCCUGAGCCCAACCAUGUGACGGAGGCCUCUGAGCUGCUGCGAUACCU